Molecule: ribosomal RNA, 230 nt
Filed under: uncultured bacterium
Lineage: Bacteria
Description: partial 16S ribosomal RNA
Rfam family: Bacterial small subunit ribosomal RNA
Source: RNAcentral
UGGGCAACCUGCCCCUCUCUCUGGGAUAACCCCGGGAAACCGGAGCUAAUACCGGAUACUCCGGCUGGAUCGCAUGGUCGGCCGGGAAAGGUCCGCCGGAGAGGGAUGGGCCCGCGGCCUAUCAGCUUGUUGGUGGGGUCAUGGCUCACCAAGGCGACGACGGGUAGCUGGUCUGAGAGGACGACCAGCCACACUGGAACUGAGACACGGCCCAGACUCCUACGGGAGCA